Molecule: ribosomal RNA, 254 nt
Filed under: uncultured bacterium
Lineage: Bacteria
Description: partial 16S ribosomal RNA
Rfam family: Bacterial small subunit ribosomal RNA
Source: RNAcentral
UACGAAGGGGGCUAGCGUUGUUCGGAAUCACUGGGCGUAAAGCGCACGCAGGCGGAUCGUUAAGUCAGGGGUGAAAUCCCGAGGCUCAACCUCGGAACUGCCUUUGAUACUGGCGAUCUUUGAGUCCGGGAGAGGUGAGUGGAACUCCGAGUGUAGAGGUGAAAUUCGUAGACAUUCGGAAGAACACCAGUGGCGAAGGCGACUCACUGGCCCAUUACUGACGCUGAGGCGCGAAAGCGUGGGGAGCAAACAGG